UCAGACGAGAAGAGCGAGGCUGCUGCUGCGGUUGCGGCACCGCCAUUGUUGAGGGGAAUGAAGCUUUGCAAGAAGGGGUGUCCCGGGUGCAGGCUGGAUGAGAUCAACAAGACCAAGACCGGCAUCCCCUACCUCAACUUCUGCUACAUCUGGAUCGUCUGCCUCUGCUCUACACUACCAAUUCAUUCAUUGUUCCCCUAUCUAUACUUUAUGAUUAGAGACUUGAAAGUCGCAAAGCAAGAACAAGAUAUCGGGUUCUAUGCUGGUUUUGUCGGGGCUACUUACUUCCUUGCAAGAACUAUUAGUGCUGUGCCAUGGGGCAUGUUUGCUGACAAAUAUGGGAGGAAGCCUUGCAUUGUGAUCAGUAUCCUCUCAGUGAUCAUAUUUAACACCCUGUUCGGCCUUAGCACGACUUACUGGAUGGCAAUUGUAACUAGGGGGCUACUUGGGUUACUUUGUGGUAUACUAGGACCAAUCAAGGCCUAUGCUUCGGAAGUCUGCAGGAUAGAGCACCAAACUCUUGGAAUUUCUCUGGUUACAUCUUCGCGAGCAAUAGCUUUUGUUAUUGGACCAGCCAUCGGAGGAUUUCUUUCCGAGCCUGCAAAGAAGUAUCCCAAUAUUUUUUCGGAGAAAUCCAUAUUUGGAAGGUUUCCAUACUUCCUCCCUUGCUUCCUUAUAUCAGUUCUAGCAGCAGGAGCAUGUGUUGCGUGCAUUUGGCUUCCGGAAACUUUGCACAUGCACCAUGAUGACAAUGUAGAAGCCAUUGAUACAAUGGAGGCACAAGUUGUUGAUCCAAACUUAGUAAAUGUGAAAGGUAUACAAUCUAGAUCAGGGAGAUUCACAUCUACAAUGAGCCUGUUAAAGAACUGGCAAUUGAUGUCAGCAAUUACCCUCUACUGUGUGUUUUCUCUCUAUGAUACCGCUUAUAUCGAGAUAUUUUCACUGUGGGCUGUGAGCAGCAGAAAAUACCGGGGACUAAAUUUUACAUCUGAGGAUGUUGGUACUGUGCUAGCUAUCUCGGGUAUUGGUAUUUUUGUAUAUCAACUCGUGAUUUAUCCAUUCCUUGCCAAGUAUGCUGGGUUAAUCAAGCCAUUCCGUUCUGCAGCGGUAUUAUCUAUACUACUUGUUGCAACAUAUCCAUUCAUAGCCAACCUAUAUGGUGUGGAGCUCAAAGUACUCAUCAAUAUAGCUUCGCUUCUAAAAAAUAUGUUUGCAGCAACGAUUACGACUGCGUGCAAUAUUCUGCAGAACACUGUGGUGAGGCAAGAACAAAGGGGUGUUGCAAAUGGUAUCAGUGUUACUUUGAUGUCAAUCUUCAAAGCAGUAGGUCCAGCAGCAGCAGGAGUUCUGUUUUCAUGGGCUCAGAAGAACACAACGGGGUUGUUCUUACCAGGUGACCAGAUCCUUUUCAUCUUCUUGAAUAUGGUGGCAAUAAUCGGACUCUUGAUGACGUUCAAGCCAUUUUUUUCACUGCCGAGUGCGACAAAAUAA
RNAcentral lists this ribosomal RNA (1491 nucleotides) under Triticum aestivum (bread wheat). Its description in RNAcentral is "partial small subunit ribosomal RNA". The record is from RNAcentral. Lineage: Eukaryota; Viridiplantae; Streptophyta; Magnoliopsida; Poales; Poaceae.